This 258-nucleotide long non-coding RNA is filed under the name Physcomitrium patens. RNAcentral describes it as "long non-coding RNA (PPAT_LNC001769)". The record is from RNAcentral. Lineage: Eukaryota; Viridiplantae; Streptophyta; Bryopsida; Funariales; Funariaceae.
UAAAGAUAAGCCAAUAGAAGAUAUAUUAUCUUGAGUAAGAUAUAUUUGAGAAGAUGAGAUAAUUGUGGAUAUUGAUGAUGUAGAUACAAAUUUUUUUUGAUUUUAUAAUUAAAUAAGUAAAAUAAGUCAUUUCAUGAAGAAAAUUAUAAAAAAGAGUUAUUAGAUAUUAGGCAUGAUUUGAAUUUUUUGACUAAACAUAUUAAUUGAUCAGCUGAGAAAUUUAAAUAAAUCAAAAAAUAGGCAUAUAAGUUUAUAUUA